GGUGGUUCGCCUGCGAAUUCAGUCUGCUUAGCAGGCAACAUCUCUACUGUGCUAGAAAUUACAAUAGUAUUACUAGCAGCCUGCUUUAGCAGGUUCACAGAUCAAAUAGAGGUGGCCCUUUAGGGGUUAAGAUAUGAUCGAUUUGAUGCUGAGACAGCAUUUUUAAAAUGGAACCUGCGGAAGGAUCAUUAAAGAGUAUAGAGACUUCGGUCUACUACUCCACCCUUUGUUUACAAUACCAUUGUUGCUUUGGCAGGCCCGUCGCAAGACAACCGGCUUUGGCUGGUCAGUGCCUGCCAGAGGACCUAAAACUCAUGUUUAUAUUAUUGUCUGAGUACUAUAUAAUAGUUAAAACUUUCAACAACGGAUCUCUUGGUUCUGGCAUCGAUGAAGAACGCAGCGAAAUGCGAUAAGUAAUGUGAAUUGCAGAAUUCAGUGAAUCAUCGAAUCUUUGAACGCACAUUGCGCCCUCUGGUAUUCCGGGGGGCAUGCCUGUUCGAGCGUCAUUACAACCCUCAAGCUCUGCUUGGUAUUAGGCUCCACCCUUAGGGGCGGGCUUUAAAAUCAGUGGCGGUGCCAUUCGGCUUCAAGCGUAGUAAUUUUCUCGCUUUGGAGGACCGGGUGUGUGUUUGCCAAUAACCCCAUAUUUUUUAAAGGUUGACCUCGGAUCAGGUAGGG
This 678-nucleotide ribosomal RNA is filed under the name Alatospora constricta. RNAcentral's name for it is "eukaryotic LSU rRNA". The stretch from base 353 to 506 matches the Rfam family "5.8S ribosomal RNA". The record is from RNAcentral. Lineage: Eukaryota; Fungi; Ascomycota; Leotiomycetes; Leotiales; Leotiaceae.